ACCGCUGUUCCUACUGGUUCUGCCCGGCCUGCUGAAGUGACCAAUCAGAAGGCGGCAACUACCGCCUCGGGCCACGCUGCGCUGCGCGUCGCCAUUGGUGGAGAGGAGAACAGCGACCAAUCAGCGCUGCGGGAGGUGGGGCGGUGGUCACGCCAACCGCUGGCGAUUGGCUGUGCCCACAGCAGGCUGACCAAUAGCGGCGUGGCAGUGGCCAUAAAAGACGUAGCGUGGGGCGCGCACGUUCUUUUCAGCAAGAGGCGCAGGACGAGAUAGAACGGAGGGGCUCGGCGGGAACCGGCGGCGGCGUCCCGGAGGCUCCGUGCCCCAUCCGCGGCACUCCCCGACGGUCUGGGCCGCUCGAAGGCGACGUUCGUGGUAGUAAAAGUGGUUUAAAAUCAUGGGGGUUUAGGGUUAGAAGGAAAAUUAAGCUUAGUAGGCCCUGAAAAAAUACCCUGGGUGCAUGUAGGCCUCGUACCUUGCUAGAGCUGCGCCUGUGUAGCUGGUACAUGAUAAAUGAUAUAAUUGUUAGAUGUGAUGAUUGGUUAGUAAUUAAAUAUAAUUACUGUUUAAUCGUAAAAAUAAUCAUGAGAAACUGUGGUCAGGGGCCUAAGAAAGAUCACGAGAAACUCAUGCUUGAAUAAAGUAAAUGUAUGCAAUAGAACAAUAUAAGUUUAUUAAUUUGUAAGUUAUAGCAAAUAAUAAUGAAUUAAUAAUUGAGUAUUAAUGAAUUAAUAAUUAAAAUUCGCAAAUAUUACCAUUAAUAUUACAUGUGUAAUGUUAGAAAGCUGUGCUGUAUUCUCUUAAGUAGUGGGUUAAAUAUAGUUUUAGGUUUCAACAGAAUGUUAAAAUAGAGACUAUGUUUGUGGGGAGAGUAUUUUUUUUUUAGUAAUGAAAUACUCGUUUAGAGGAAAACCUAAAUCUUUAAAGGAAUUUAUAGUUUUCUUAUCAGAAGAAGCUAAUUUCUUCAGGCCUUGCUCGACUUAAAGACGCCUUGGGGAUUAAAGGAAACAGUUGACAUACAACAGGCAGAGUUCUUGUUUUAAAUAGAAUACAUACAUAACCAUGAAGGAUAUAUGAAUAUGCAACAGGCUGUUGCUUUUAAGGUUAUUCCUUUGUUCACAAGGGAUGCUUUUUGUGACUUAGUGUCCAAGAGCAUCCGGACAUGCUCGGCAAAUUUUGUAGCUUACAGGUGAAUAAAGUUUUGAAAAAUC
This is a non-coding RNA of Taeniopygia guttata (zebra finch), 1211 nucleotides long. NCBI's taxonomy places the organism in Eukaryota, Metazoa, Chordata, Aves, Passeriformes, Estrildidae. The record is from RefSeq and is a predicted model, not a curated record.